Molecule: unclassified non-coding RNA, 304 nt
Filed under: Pisolithus sp.
Lineage: Eukaryota; Fungi; Basidiomycota; Agaricomycetes; Boletales; Pisolithaceae
Description: partial contains 5.8S ribosomal RNA, internal transcribed spacer 2, and large subunit ribosomal RNA
Source: RNAcentral
CGCACCUUGCGCUCCUUGGUAUUCCGAGGAGCAUGCCUGUUUGAGUGUCAUUGAAAAUCUCAAGCCGAGCUGUUUUGACUUUGGUUGAAAAAGCCCGGAUUUUGGAGUGUUGGGAGGUCUGCAGGCAGUCCUGAUCUUUUGGGACUGCCAGCUCUCCUGAAAUGCAUUAGUGGGAUGGGCGUGUGACCAGCCUCUUCGACGUCGUAAUGCGAUCGUCGUGGACUGUGAGCUUUUUCCCCCCCUUGACUUUGCUAUUGUGUGAAGGCUUGACCUCAAAUCAGGUAGGACUACCCGCUGAACUUAA